This 334-nucleotide ribosomal RNA is filed under the name uncultured soil bacterium. RNAcentral's name for it is "bacterial SSU rRNA". It matches the Rfam family "Bacterial small subunit ribosomal RNA", at positions 26 to 371 of the family's 1533-position model. The record is from RNAcentral.
AGAUUGAACGCUGGCGGCAUGCCUAACACAUGCAAGUCGAACGGGAGUAGCAAUACUCUAGUGGCGGACGGGUGAGGAAUACGUAGGAAUUUGCCCUUAAGUGGGGGAUAACCCGGGGAAACCCGGAUUAAUACCGCAUGACCUCGAAAGAGCAAAGUGGGGGAUCGGCAAGACCUCACGCUUUUGGAGAAGCCUACGUCGGAUUAGCUAGUUGGUGAGGUAAUGGCUCACCAAGGCGACGAUCCGUAACUGGUCUGAGAGGAUGAUCAGUCACACCGGACUGAGACACGGUCCGGACUCCGUACGGGAGCAGCAGUGGGGAAUAGUUGGACAA